Molecule: RNase P RNA, 325 nt
Filed under: bovine gut metagenome
Description: Bacterial RNase P class A
Rfam family: Bacterial RNase P class A
About the family: Ribonuclease P (RNase P) is a ubiquitous endoribonuclease, found in archaea, bacteria and eukarya as well as chloroplasts and mitochondria. Its best characterised activity is the generation of mature 5'-ends of tRNAs by cleaving the 5'-leader elements of precursor-tRNAs. Cellular RNase Ps are ribonucleoproteins.
Source: RNAcentral
GGAGCGGCUUGUCGCUCGUGCCUUGAGCAUGAGAGGAAAGUCCGGGCAACACAGAGCAUCGCAUUUCUUAACGGGAAGCUGGGGGUGACCUCAGGGUUAAGGUGACAGAAAACAACCGCCACCUCACGGUGGUAAGGGUGAAAAGGCGGGGUAAGAGCCCACCGGGCGCCACGGCGACAUCAAGGUCAAGUAUACCGUCAGGGCUGCUCGUCUAUUGGCGGGGGGUAGACUGCUAUACUGGCGUGGCAACACGUCCAGACAGAUAAAUGACAAGCGGCGUUACCCAUGGGUAACGGCCACAUAACCCGGCUUAUAACUCCACUGC